The sequence is a transfer RNA, 84 nucleotides long. It matches the Rfam family "tRNA". From Rfam's summary of the family: Transfer RNA (tRNA) molecules are approximately 80 nucleotides in length. Their secondary structure includes four short double-helical elements and three loops (D, anti-codon, and T loops).
GGGCGAGUAGCUUAGCCUGGUGGAGCACAAGUGCUUAAUCGCCUUAUAAGCGAGGGGUCGAGGGUUCAAAUCCCUCCUCGCCCA